UACGUAGGGCGCAAGCGUUGUCCGGAAUUAUUGGGCGUAAAGAGCUCGUAGGCGGUUUGUCGCGUCUGCUGUGAAAACCUAAGGCUCAACCUUGGGCUUGCAGUGGGUACGGGCAGACUAGAGUGCGGUAGGGGUGACUGGAAUUCCUGUGUAGCGGUGGAAUGCGCAGAUAUCAGGAGGAACACCGAUGGCGAAGGCAGGUCACUGGGCCGCAACUGACGCUGAGGAGCGAAAGCAUGGGGAGCGAACAGG
Molecule: ribosomal RNA, 252 nt
Filed under: uncultured bacterium
Lineage: Bacteria
Description: partial 16S ribosomal RNA
Rfam family: Bacterial small subunit ribosomal RNA
Source: RNAcentral